This 4446-nucleotide long non-coding RNA is filed under the name Volvox carteri. RNAcentral describes it as "long non-coding RNA (VCAR_LNC002195)". The record is from RNAcentral. Lineage: Eukaryota; Viridiplantae; Chlorophyta; Chlorophyceae; Chlamydomonadales; Volvocaceae.
CAAGCUAGAAAGCGUAGUUAUAAUCCUAAGUGGACUAGACUAGACGCGUCCGCAGCGCCUUGGUGUUCAUUUGCGGUUAGGCUACUUCAUUCGGUUGCCGCUGACUGCCGCUGAGAUAUGAGCCAGUCGGUUGGAGCCAAUCGGUUCUUGGAACUUGAAAGUACACGUACGGCUAGUUGUCGGGACCCCUACCUGUGUAAGAGGAAGACAACGGCAGAAAAAGGGGCAAUGCCCGACCGACUUGUGGCCAACAACUGAAGAAUACAUAAAACUGAAGAAAAUACAAGGCUUGGGCGAUACAUAUGAAUCAGCUCAACACAUCCCUACAUGCUGCAUGGUGGACAAUUGCUCCCCCAAACAGCGCUUCACGUGCGUGAGCCGCCACAGACAGCACCUAGCGGCACCUGGCGGUAACCACGUGCGCCAACUACUCCACUUAAAACAGCACCCAGACUCGUGAAAGGGAGGGAAAAAAGGAAUGCAAGCCUAGACAAAACCGUCCUGACACUGGUACGGCCCUAACAUCCAAUGCGGUGGGCAGAAACAGCGGACUGACAGACUCGACAUGUACAAGGUGCGGGGGCUAGAUGGCGGGAGGAAAAGAUGCAGCAGGGCUCGUGAACAGAAAUAGAACGCAUGCAGUAUGACUGCUGCCCCUACCGGGCGUAAGGGGGAAAUGUAAAACGAACAUAAGCAGGGCACCAGACGACGAACACGAAGCCAGUAACACGUUAGACCUGGGCCCAUGCCGUGUGUGGUGUUCUCAAUGCGUGCUUACUACUACGGCCUCGUAUGCACACACGAAGCCGUAGUACACACAAACAUACAUACAUACAUGCAUACACAUGCAUACACAUCGGACGCCACCUACGCAUCCUACACAUAUAUGGCCUAACUUAGAAGUUUUGCUUUCCCUUGACCCCAAAAACGUUUUUUGUGCUUUUAAGCCCAAAGUACUGCUUUGAGAAGGACUGAUUAAGGCGUUGUUGAACACUCACAUACCUCUAUUUGGAAUGCACGUGGAGCCAAUAAUACGGCCCGUCAGAGGCCCUAGGGCCGCUUUUCCCCUCUUACAAGCUCGUGGCCCUCGAAAGCUUGCUAUUCACUAUUUGCGACGGCUGGCCCAACUCGCUGCCGACAAGGUGAUAACAGUGAUGCACGACCGACUCGCAUUCCGGGGAAGCAAUUUAAGAUUAACGGUCAUUACAACAGGAAACAUGCUGUCUGCUGAGCAUCCAAGGAUGAGGUAUGGGGUGUUACUAAUCUGCUUCCAAAGCUCUCGGUUGGGUGCCCGUGCGGCCGGGCAAGUCGAAGGACUCGCCGGGCGUGCGGUCAACAUGGCCCUCGGAGCGCUUCCAGUUCGCGCUGCGCUUUGGAACGCCGUGCAAGCUUUCCCAGAACCUUGGCAGAUAGCCCGCUCAACACCACUAAGUCUAAAGGUUUCUGCCCGGACACACCAAAGGAAGCGCUCUUUCCCUUCCACCGGCUUUAUUCGCGUUGGCAACACCGAACCAUGGGUCAGUUAGGCGGCAAUAAGAAGCCAAGGAUGCCGGUGCUCGCAGUGCUGCUGCUGCUAGCAUUCACAGCAGCCGGUGAGGAAGUACGUCGGACCUUUGUGGGCUCCUCAAUACGUAACAGGGACACCGCGCAGUGCCCCGAACGAAGCAUCCUACCAGCUCCUCAUCCUCGGCGGUUUGCGGCCCCUUCGUAAACCUUUUGCGCCUUGGCUCCGCAACCGGUUGUCCCCUUGCCAUUGCCGCCGCCUCACAUUCCUCAUUUUCCCACUCCCAACCCACAACCCCUCCUGACCUGGCCCCUGCCGGGCCGCACCUUCCCCACACCCUCAGUCCGGCUCCAUGCCGCCGCACCGCCCGCUUCCGUUGUGGCGGUUGCUAAUCGGGACGCGGAGGGCGCCAUCGUACUGGACGCGGACGAGGCGCACAAUUUCCAGCCAAGCGCCGCCGCAUGCCGUGACAGCUGCCUCAACACCACCGGUUGCAAUGUGUGGGUGUGGUGUGGCGCCGUGAGUGGCUGCUCAUCAGGUGUCUCCUACACCCCUCGCGACCUCAGCAAGUGGGUGCAUUCCUGUGGAUCACUAUCAGGUGGCCCUCCCGCGCUGAAGAGAGUGACGACCGCCAUAAGAUGCGGGAGAGCUUGCAGGCUGCAGGAUUGAUGAAGAGGCCCCCCACGUGUGGCCUUGACAGCUUGCGACCUUGACAAGACGGGACCACUUAAUACGGAGGCGUGGUGUGGCGUGUCCUUAGCUUCCCGUCAUAAGGGGGUGUGGGAGGAGGGGAGUCGGUUACCGUUAUCAACCCCGUGCCGGUUGCGGCCGUACUUGGUAGUGCCGUACACCCUUGUUGCGGCGGUCGUUCACAGUCGCAUCACACUUUACAUCCACACACACACGGGGGUGUCUGGCCCAGCAUGGGUGGCCUCCGCCCCGUCCAUGCAUCUCGGGGUGCUGGAAGGAACCGGCAAGGGGUAGAGGUUGAUGGCCUUUGCCUUGUACGGCCCUGUUGGAAGCCGAGGUCCGCCCGCCUGCCUCUACUGCAGGUACCAACAGUGCUGGCUCAAGUACGACACGCCGCCAAAACAAGGUGCAUCCACCCGUGGCAUGUUUCUCCGGUUUAAGAAUGCCCCUGACCAGCCAUCUGGCUGGAUGAGCGGCACCACGGUCACAAACUUCACCGACAGUGCGCCCUUCCCCGAGGAAAACUUUGCAUGCGAGUGCCUCGCCAAAUACCAGUACCUUGACUACAGGUUCGAGGUCAGUGCUGUACAGCUCCUGCAGGCGGCCUUUUUGUGCAGCCACCCAGGUUCCCGGUCAUGUGGACAUGCAUGCAUGUUUCACAUCAUGAACACAUUGCAUGUGCCAUUCUGCUCCUUUCAGUCAUUACUAAAUGCUCUUGAUUCCGAGUUCUGAGUGACUGUGCCCCACCUGGUGCUGGACAAUUUGUAACCGUCGCACGGUAUGCAUGUGGCACUUGCACCCUUCAUCGCAGGGCAUGUGCGCCAAUCUUCAGGGUGGCGGUCCUGUAUGCGUGGGGAGCUCCAAUUGCAGUGCGGAUCUAAUUGGCACGUUUAAUUCUUGCCCGCUCGUUCCGUCCUGUACUGUGCUUCUGGACACCGACCUAAACGCCACGAAGGUGCGCACAUUUCACGGGAUUCAAUGCGCAAAAUUUAUAUCCAGGUGAACGUAUCGAAGCUGGAGCUUGGGACUUGCCAACCCUGGAACCUCUUGGUACUGGGGUGCGUUUGCAGACUUUGUGUUCAUAUCACCGUGUACCUGAUCUGUGAUUGGCACUGACCGAGAGCAGGGGGUCCAGCUCUUACUCUUUGUUUGUGAUAGAAAAGUAUGCACCGCUACUCCUGCACCAUUGCGGGCAGCAGCUAGAACCGGCAAAUCAGCGCUCAUAAUGCUGUUGCACGUCUGCAGUGCACGUCUGCAGUGUUCGUGCUGGUCCCUUGCGCCUCACAAGCAGCCCGUCACCCCGUCACCCCUGUCCGCUUUCGCAUCCUCCUCUCUCCAUGCAACGGCCAGAUCAUUACCCCCGGAGAUUAUAACACCGCCGACUCGGCAGAGGACUGCUGCUACCAAUGUGCCAGCACCCAGGUGUGACGGCUAGUAGGGGUGAUUGAUGUGGGCAAGUGGGAGGAAGAAGGGGAGACUAUGAACCCCCGAAACGAACUGCUUACGGUUGCCAAUCAGGGUGCGCUUCCUUCCAUGCAAGGUAUCUCCGUGCUUCUUCUUUGCACGCGUCUUUCUGCUCUCGCGCACAUGCAUGGCUGCUGUGCUUGCCUAUGUACCCUGACAGGGCUGCAACUUAUGGACCUGGUGCGCUGAUCCAACGGCUUGUAACGGCGAGCGGUACCGCUUCCGCCAGUGCUGGCUCAAGCAAGCCGACCCCAAGAACCCGCAGCCCAAGAAGGGAUACGGCGGCAGUCCCGGAUGGAUUAGCGGCGUGCGGCUGACCUGGAUGCCGAUGUGAAGCAGGAGAGCGAGGAUGAUGUGAUUCAUGUGGAUGCAGUCCAUCCGUCGCCUCGCUGCCAUGGAUGCCGUUUGAUGAUACUCCAGGUCUCGGGGUUGGCUGGAGAGUUUAUUUGGUUUCGGAACGCUCUGGAACGACGAUGCCGAAUAAAACAUGCAUCCGACCGUCAGCUGGAAAGGAGUUCUACCUCAAGUUAAUUUGCGGCUUGGAUAGCUAGCAAGCUGCUUAUUCGCGCCUCGGCUGAAAUACGUCCUGCAUCCAAGAUUCUUGCAAUAUGAAAUUCCAUAUGAUAAAGGAUGAUAAUAUCCUUUUGAUGCUUACCUUACUUCGUAGUGCGAAUGCCUGGCUGACAACUAUGAAGCUGACCGCCAACAAGGCCUGAUGAUGACAAAGCGCGGUGUAACACACAUGAAGGUUUUAGGUAGCAGUUAACCACACUUUUGGAACGGAACCG